CUGUGCAAUUUUAUAUUUAAGUCGUCAGUAAUUUAAAUAAAUCAAGGUGCAAUCUGCUACAGAGGACUAGAAGCGAAGAUGGAAGGGAAUCUGUCCGGCUCCGCCGAUGAUAUGACGAAUGACGGAAUUGAUUACACUCAGCGAAAUUCACAUAGGAUUUUCAUAACAUGGAUCGUAUGAAUCAGAUUGCAGUUGCUGUGCAUUUAGUCGUUCCAGUCGUUCCACUCAGGAUUGGACAAAAUUCACGAAAGUAUCGAUUAUUGAAUAUCAAUAUCAAAUCCGCCGCUUUAUCGAUACCGUCGAUAUAUCGCU
Molecule: long non-coding RNA, 312 nt
Organism: Sabethes cyaneus
Lineage: Eukaryota; Metazoa; Arthropoda; Insecta; Diptera; Culicidae
Exons: 3
Source: RefSeq, a predicted model, not a curated record